Molecule: ribosomal RNA, 649 nt
Filed under: uncultured bacterium
Lineage: Bacteria
Description: bacterial SSU rRNA
Rfam family: Bacterial small subunit ribosomal RNA
Source: RNAcentral
AAGAGGAGCUUGCUCCUCGGAACAGUGGCGGACGGGUGAGUAACACGUGAGCAACCUGGCUCUAAGAGGGGGACAACAGUUGGAAACGACUGCUAAUACCGCAUAACGUAUCGGGAUGGCAUCUUCCUGAUACCAAAGAUUUUAUCGCUUAGAGAUGGGCUCGCGUCUGAUUAGAUAGUUGGCGGGGUAACGGCCCACCAAGUCGACGAUCAGUAGCCGGACUGAGAGGUUGAACGGCCACAUUGGGACUGAGACACGGCCCAGACUCCUACGGGAGGCAGCAGUGGGGGAUAUUGGACAAUGGGGGCAACCCUGAUCCAGCGACGCCGCGUGAGGGAAGAAGGUUUUCGGAUUGUAAACCUCUGUUGACGGAGAAAAAAAUGAUGGUAUCCGUUUAGAAAGCCACGGCUAACUACGUGCCAGCAGCCGCGGUAAUACGUAGGUGGCAAGCGUUGUCCGGAAUUACUGGGUGUAAAGGGAGUGUAGGCGGGAUAGCAAGUCAGAAGUGAAAAUUACGGGCUCAACUCGUAACCUGCUUUUGAAACUGACAUUCUUGAGUGAAGUAGAGGCAAGCGGAAUUCCUAGUGUAGCGGUGAAAUGCGUAGAUAUUAGGAGGAACACCAGUGGCGAAGGCGGCUUGCUGGGCUUU